Molecule: long non-coding RNA, 223 nt
Filed under: Gallus gallus (chicken)
Lineage: Eukaryota; Metazoa; Chordata; Aves; Galliformes; Phasianidae
Source: RNAcentral
UGUCGUGGUACCUCUCGCAGACGCGGACGGUCCAGGCGGCGAUGAUCCAGGAGGAGAUGCUGAAGACCAAGAGCACGGUGCCGGGGCAGAUGGUCAUGAGGGUCUUCAUGACAAAGCGGGUGUUGAAGUUGAUCUUGUUGAGGGCGCCGAUGCUGCGCGACGACGCGUCGGUGAAGAGCUUGCUGUGCAGCAGCAUGACGCGCCCGAUCAGGUAGAGCCGAAG